UAGACUGCAACUAGUUUACAUUAGAGUCCAUAAAAGUAAACCAAGUGAACAUUUUAAUUGACCACGUUUCGUUUUUUUUAACUUUGAAUCCCGGAAGUAAUCUAACGUUAUGUGAAUAUGGGGUGACUUUAUCAACGUUAUCACGUCAGGUUUGACAGGGUUUGUGAUGCAUUGUAUAACUCAUCGUCGACCGUUUUGGGAAGUAAAAUAUAUUCACUUUAAUUUGCAUGAACAUAAGCAACGAACAGGGCGCAACUUUGACUGAAGUCGUGUUGUUAUUGUUGUCGAUGGAAAUCUUAUCAAUGUUUGGGCUUCGUCUGUCCCUAAAGCAAAGAUAUUGUCUCCUGCUGUGUGUUGCUGUCGGAGCGAUCCUUGCUUAUCGGUUUACAAGGAAUCGACCUGAGGUAGUAAGAAUGAAGCGUGCGGAGGGUCUGAGGGCCAACUCGUCUCAGUUCACUCUGGAGGGAAAACCCUUCCACAUCCUGGGGGGCUCCAUCCAUUACUUCCGUGUCCCCAGAGCCUACUGGGAGGACCGGCUGCUGAAGAUGAAGGCCUGUGGCCUCAAUACUCUGACAACGUAUGUGCCAUGGAAUAUGCACGAGCCUGAGCGAGGGGUGUUCAACUUUGAGGAUCAGUUGGAUUUGGAAGCUUACCUCCGUCUUGCAGCCAGCUUGGGCCUCUGGGUGAUUCUGCGUCCAGGGCCGUACAUCUGUGCAGAGUGGGAUUUAGGUGGCCUACCCAGUUGGCUACUACGAGAUAAAAACAUGAAACUGAGAACAACCUACCCAGGAUUCACUGAUGCCGUUAACUCCUUCUUUAAUCAUCUCAUUGAGAAAGUUGUUCCACAUCAGUACUCCAAGGGUGGCCCAAUUAUCGCAGUUCAAGUGGAGAAUGAGUAUGGCUCCUAUGCCAAAGAUGACAAAUACAUGCCUUUCAUCAAGGAGUCGUUGUUGUCAAGAGGCAUCUCAGAGCUGCUGCUGACCUCAGACAACAAGGAAGGACUAAAGCUUGGAGGAGUGAAAGGAGCACUAGAAACCAUCAAUUUCCAGAAGUUUAACCCAAAGGACAUCAAGUAUCUGGAUGAGAUACAACCUCACAAGCCGAAGAUGGUGAUGGAGUACUGGUCUGGCUGGUUCGAUCUUUGGGGGGACCUUCAUCAUGUCUACCCAGCUGAGGACAUGUUACCUGUGGUCACAGAGAUCCUUAAACUGAACAUGUCCAUCAACCUCUACAUGUUCCACGGUGGGACAAAUUUUGGCUUUAUGGGCGGAGCGUUCGCCGUUGGAAUGCCGGCACCUAAAGCUAUGGUGACAAAUUAUGAUUACGAUGCUCCAUUAUCCGAGGUGGGGGAUUACACCACCAAGUACCAUCUUCUGAGGAAUGUAUUCAGCCAGUACCACGCCCAGCCUCUCACCGUGCUGCCUCCUCAUCAGGACAGGAGAGUGUACCAGCCUGUUUCCAUCCAGCAGCACCUGUCUCUGUGGGUCAGUCUGCAAUUCACUGACAAGGCCUUUAAGUCAGAGAGGCCGGUGAGCAUGGAGAACCUCCCUGUCAACAACAACAACGGCCAGUCUUACGGCUACACGCUGUACGAGACCACCAUCAGCAGCGAAGGGACCCUCAACUCCAAGAACAACAUCAGAGACAGAGCCCUGGUUUAUGUGGACAAACAUUUUGUUGGUGUUCUGGAUUAUAAGACGCAAGAACUUGCAGUCCCUUACGGAAAGGGAAAAAGAACUCUAAGUUUACUCGUGGAGAACUGUGGAAGAGUGAAUUAUGGGAAAACCCUGGAUGAGCAGCGCAAAGGUCUUGUUGGAGAUAUCGAGUUGAACAAGAACCCCCUCCGUGACUUUGUUAUCCAUAGUCUGGAUAUGAAGCCUGGCUUUGUAAACAGACUUGAGGGUACUGGCCAUUGGAUUUCUUUGCGUCAGCAGCGGCCCUCCUUCCCGGGGUUUUUCCAGGCAAAACUCUACGUGAACAGUUCUCCUAAAGACACCUUCAUCAAACUCCCUCAUUUCAUUGGCCGAACCUGCCUGUUGUCAUGGUGACGGUCACUGGUUGUGUUCACAGGGCUGGGGCAAAGGUGUAGUGUUUAUUAACGGCAGGAAUCUGGGACGCUACUGGUCCGUCGGUCCUCAGCAGACUCUCUAUGUCCCGGGGCCCUGGCUCCACAGGGGGAACAACCAGGUCACUGUGUUUGAAGAGCAGGAAACAGAUGGCAGGAUUCAGUUCUCCAGCAGCCCGGACUAUGGCAUGUCAGUUGAUGUCCAGUGAGGACAGAAGGUGAGAGGGCAGUGCGGAUGAGGAGAGGAGGAUGCUGGGAGUGUAGCUGGGAAACCGAGGCAACGGCUCAGGCGAUUACAGCGAGCUUCGUCUGCUCAGGCUCUGAUGGCGUGUCACGACCAGCAGAUCUGAAAAGUGACACGGAGCAGCGAGGAUGACUUUUGGUUUCCCAUCGGAAGAAUUCAACAAUGCAGUGAUCCAGACUUGGGGAGUGCUUUUUCCAAAUUAGAGGAUCCUUCAUAUUGAACCAUGGACUGAGUAUUUUCUUCACAUGAUUCUAAAAAGAUACAUGUGCAUAUCCUCCACGCUCCUAAAAGACCCACAAGCCUACACACAAUGCAUUUCCUGUCCCCUGUUUUUGGGUAAAAGAGGAUAAAUCACCGGUUUUUAUUUAAUGCGAGAAAUGGGUAUUCCAGUUGCUUAAUCUUAACUCAUAUUAGACCUGCACACUUGGUGAGUUAAGAAGUUAAUUUAAAUAUAACAGAGGAGUUGGUAAUAGUGGAAGUAAAAAAAAAUCAAGGGUGGUUUUGAUUAGUUCUACUUUGUUUUUGUCGUGUUCGAAGGAAGUAUGCUAUAUAACGAUCAGCAAGGUAAAAGGACUGUUUCUGUAAUUGGAGUCUGGUGGCUUUGUAGAGAGCAUAAUGGCAGUUUCUUAUUACAUUUCACUUGGAGAAUGAAGGGCUUAUUUAGACAGAACCGGACGUGGUGGUAAUUGCAACAACUUGAAUUUUAUUUUGUUUCAGUCAAGUUUAAAAUGUGUGUGUGAUGAUCAGGUAAAAUUAUGGUUUCUGUCAAAAGAUACUUAUGGCUUUGAGAAGAGCAUAUUCAUUGUUUGUUUUGUAAGUUAAUCACUUAUAAUACUUGCCAAAACUUAUUGUCAAUGAAGCCUUGCGCUUUUUAAUCUGUUGAUAUUGUAAAAAAAUAACCUGAUUUGUUGAGAAACACCCAACAGUUUUCAUUUAAUGACUGUAUUUAUGCCAAGGGAUGUAUAAUUAUUUCUAUCACGGUAUUAUUAUUUCUCCAAUGUCAUUAACGUUCAUUCAAAUACUUUAUUUUUGGAGACCAAGAGACUGUCGUUGAUAAUAAUGAAGUGAAAAUCUCCUCCUCCAACACACUUAAUUGAUAAAUUCCAGGCUGUGUAAUAAUGGUGAAUAAAUGCAGUUCGACCUCUGUAUCAGAAGCCAAGGAUGCUUUUGAACUCUUUCAUUUGAACUGCACACCGACCACCUGUUUGAUAUAAAACGAGUUGCUUCUGUCCUCUCUUAUGAUAUGCUCCUGCAGAGAAGUCAAGAUCACAAGCAUGUGUUUGAAGUGUUUUUUCAAAAGUCAUCUCUAUGUGCGUGCUUUGCCAACAGACCUACCAUCACAAUUCUUCCCUUUAAAGAUUGAUGCCACAGUGACACUGUGCUUCAACAUUUCAGUCUUUUAUCGCCUAGAAAAAUGUGAGGUGCAUGAGUUGCAUUUGUGCCAACUCUUGUUAACUUUUAAGGGCGCUGAGACAGUUUGUUCUUGAGAUUUUAAAGUAAAUAUGCUAACCAACAUGUGUAGGCUUUUACUUAAACAUUUCCCCAACAACUUAAUGCCAUAUUUCCCAUCCACUGAUAUUACAUUGCUAAACUUUACACAAAUAAGGUAAGGUGAGCAUAAUUCGUUUUUCUCUAAUAAUGUAAAAAAUACUUUUAAAUGAUACAUGUAUAUUUCUCUAUGUAUGCAAAUGUAUUAAACAAUUAAUGCGGACAUUGACAAUGGAUUAGUGCAUGCUUUAGAACAUCAUUUUUUUGUUGUUGAUUUAAAUAUUACAAUCUUAGCUAAAAUAAUUACUGUGUGUUAAUUGUGCAGCCUAAUUUA
Gymnodraco acuticeps is the source of this 4131-nucleotide RNA transcript. It is a transcript of the gene named beta-galactosidase-1-like protein 2, with no coding region annotated. The transcript is spliced from 19 exons. Lineage: Eukaryota; Metazoa; Chordata; Actinopteri; Perciformes; Bathydraconidae. The record is from RefSeq and is a predicted model, not a curated record.